RNAcentral lists this long non-coding RNA (216 nucleotides) under Elaeis guineensis (African oil palm). RNAcentral's name for it is "long non-coding RNA (EGUI_LNC065175)". Lineage: Eukaryota; Viridiplantae; Streptophyta; Magnoliopsida; Arecales; Arecaceae. The record is from RNAcentral.
CCGAGCUCCUACAAUAAGCGAUCUCCAUCUGGGCUUCUACAGUAAGCAAAUUCCGUCCGAACUUCAUUGUAAGUGGACUUCAGUCGAGCUUCUAUAAUAAGCAGACUCCAUCCGAGCUUCCACGACAACCGGUCUCCAUCCGAGUUUCUACAAUAAGUGGUCUCCAUUCGGGCUUCCACGGCAACCGGUCUCCAUCCGAGCUUCUACAAUAAGCGG